GGGGAUGUAGCUCAAGAUUAGAGCACUUGUUCAGCAUACAUGAGGACCUGGGUUCAAUCCCCAGCACUGCUC
This 72-nucleotide transfer RNA is filed under the name Cavia porcellus (domestic guinea pig). It matches the Rfam family "tRNA". Rfam says of the family: Transfer RNA (tRNA) molecules are approximately 80 nucleotides in length. Their secondary structure includes four short double-helical elements and three loops (D, anti-codon, and T loops). Further hydrogen bonds mediate the characteristic L-shaped molecular structure. tRNAs have two regions of fundamental functional importance: the anti-codon, which is responsible for specific mRNA codon recognition, and the 3' end, to which the tRNAs corresponding amino acid is attached (by aminoacyl-tRNA synthetases). tRNAs cope with the degeneracy of the genetic code in two manners: having more than one tRNA (with a specific anti-codon) for a particular amino acid; and 'wobble' base-pairing, i.e. permitting non-standard base-pairing at the 3rd anti-codon position. The record is from Rfam by way of RNAcentral. Lineage: Eukaryota; Metazoa; Chordata; Mammalia; Rodentia; Caviidae.